AACAGGAUUAGAUACCCUGGUAGUCCACGCUGUAAACGAUGUCGACUUGGAGGUUGUGCCCUUGAGGCGUGGCUUCCGGAGCUAACGCGUUAAGUCGACCGCCUGGGGAGUACGGCCGCAAGGUUAAAACUCAAAUGAAUUGACGGGGGCCCGCACAAGCGGUGGAGCAUGUGGUUUAAUUCGAUGCAGCGCGAAGAACCUUACCUACUCUUGACAUCCAGAGAAUUUGCUAGAGAUAGCUUAGUGCCUUCGGGAACUCUGAGACAGGUGCUGCAUGGCUGUCGUCAGCUCGUGUUGUGAAAUGUUGGGUUAAGUCCCGCAACGAGCGCAACCCUUAUCCUUUGUUGCCAGCACGUAAUGGUGGGAACUCAAAGGAGACUGCCGGUGAUAAACCGGAGGAAGGUGGGGAUGACGUCAAGUCAUCAUGGCCCUUACGAGUAGGGCUACACACGUGCUACAAUGGCAUAUACAAAGAGAAGCGAACUCGCGAGAGCAAGCGGACCUCAUAAAGUAUGUCGUAGUCCGGAUUGGAGUCUGCAACUCGACUCCAUGAAGUCGGAAUCGCUAGUAAUCGUAGAUCAGAAUGCUACGGUGAAUACGUUCCCGGGCCUUGUACACACCGCCCGUCACACCAUGGGAGUGGGUUGCAAAAGAAGUAGGUAGCUUAACCUUCGGGAGGGCGCUUACCACUUUGUGAUUCAUGACUGGGGUGAAGUCGUAACAAGGUAACC
Molecule: ribosomal RNA, 731 nt
Filed under: uncultured bacterium
Lineage: Bacteria
Description: bacterial SSU rRNA
Rfam family: Bacterial small subunit ribosomal RNA
Source: RNAcentral